GGGGGUGACGGGCUUCGACGAAUCGUUGAAGCAGACGCAAAGCAGGCCGAGGGCGCUUGGGCCACCUCGUUAAAAACCCGCAACUGCAUACGUGCAAACGUAUUCAAAUCCGAUGGCGCUCUAGCACCAGCAAUGGCCUAAAGCGUUAUCGUGAUCCCCGAAAGAUCGGGGCAUUGGCCCUCUCUCGCCUCAUGGGAGACCGCCGGUGUGAUAAGCGAGGCUUGAGUUCUCUGCUCCGGGGCGAGAACUGACAAAUACCGGAAACUGGCAGGAAAGUAUUUCGCUUGAUUUCGAGCUUUCCGCCAGGCAUACCAAUCAAGCUAUGUCUGUAAACUUGCACUGAUUCAUGAUCCGGACGGGAGUUCAACUCUCCCCACCUCCACCA
Molecule: transfer-messenger RNA, 385 nt
Filed under: Candidatus Sungiibacteriota bacterium
Lineage: Bacteria; Candidatus Sungiibacteriota
Also listed under: 1 other name
Rfam family: transfer-messenger RNA
About the family: Bacterial tmRNA, also known as 10Sa RNA or SsrA, is named for its dual tRNA and mRNA-like properties. Its role is to liberate the mRNA from a stalled ribosome.
Source: RNAcentral